AUUGAACGCUGGCGGCAGGCUUAACACAUGCAAGUCGAGCGGGGAAGGGUAGCUUGCUACCUAACCUAGCGGCGGACGGGUGAGUAAUGCUUAGGAAUCUGCCAUUUAGUGGGGGACAACAUUCCGAAAGGAAUGCUAAUACCGCACACGUCCUACGGGAGAAAGCAGGGGAUCUUCGGACCUUGCGCUAAAUGAUGAGCCUAAGUCGGAUUAGCUAGUUGGGGGGGUAAAGGCCUACCAAGGCGACGAUCUGUAGCGGGUCUGAGAGGAUGAUCCGCCACACUGGGACUGAGACACGGCCCAGACUCCUACGGGAGGCAGCAGUGGGGAAUAUUGGACAAUGGGCGGAAGCCUGAUCCAGCCAUGCCGCGUGUGUGAAGAAGGCCUUAUGGUUGUAAAGCACUUUAAGCGAGGAGGAGGCUACUUAGAUUAAUACUCUAGGAUAGUGGACGUUACUCGCAGAAUAAGCACCGGCUAACUCUGUGCCAGCCGCCGCAGUAA
RNAcentral lists this ribosomal RNA (501 nucleotides) under uncultured bacterium. Its description in RNAcentral is "partial 16S ribosomal RNA". It matches the Rfam family "Bacterial small subunit ribosomal RNA", at positions 30 to 523 of the family's 1533-position model. The record is from RNAcentral.